RNAcentral lists this ribosomal RNA (1189 nucleotides) under soil metagenome. RNAcentral's name for it is "bacterial LSU rRNA". It matches the Rfam family "Archaeal large subunit ribosomal RNA", at positions 1908 to 2987 of the family's 2987-position model. The record is from RNAcentral.
GUCCGGCAGCCGCAGUAACACGCGCAGGGUGGGGACAGUCCGGAGGGAAGGCCGGCCCCGGGAACGAGGGCGGAACCCACAGACACUUGACGGCGAUCACCGCGGAAGCGGUGAAUAUAAAGCCCCCCCCCCGUGGCGACAGGGGGAGGCCGCGAGAAAGCGCGACCCGCCUAUUCCCUCGAUGUGAACACGAACGUGUACGCGCGAGGGAGAGGUCUCGAAAGCAACAGAUGUGAGCGUAAUACCUUGUCGCUUAAUUGGCGACUUGCAUGAAGGCCCAACGAGAGCUCUCCUGUCCCCGCGUGGAGGCCGGUGAAACUGACGUACUGGCGCACAGUCCAGUACCUUCCACCUGAAAGCGAAGACCCCGUGGAGCUUUACUGCAGUCUGUCGCUGCCGUAUGAGUUUGGAUGUGUAGCGUAGGCGGGACUCGUUACAAAGGGCCGACCGCUAGGUCGGCACCGAGAGGCCGAUGAAACACCGCCCUUCUGGAUUCGUACGGCUUACCCCUUCGGAGGGACAACGAUAGGUAGGCAGUUUGGGUGGGGCGCCACGCCCUCAAAAAGAUAACAAGGGCGCCCAAAGGUUGGCUUAGGAGGGUCAGAAAUCCUCCGUUAACUGUAAGGGGAAAAGCCAGCCUGACGUGGACUUGCCCAACGAGAGUCCACGAGAGGAAACUCGGGCCUAGCGAACCCAUGAGCCUGAUUUGUGCGGGCCAUGGAUGACAGAAAAGUUACCCCGGGGAUAACUGAGUCGUCUCCGGCUAGAGUUCCUAUCGACCCGGAGGCUUGCUACUUCGACGUCGGCUCUUCCUAUCCUGGUGGUGCAUGAGCUGCCAAGGGUGGGGUUGUUCGCCCAUUAAAAGGGAUCGUGAGCUGGGUUCAGACCGUCGUGAGACAGGUUUGUUGCUUUUUGGUGGAAGCGCUUUGAUGCCUGAGGGGAAGGUCCCUUAAGUACGAGAGGAACGGGGGAUCGGCGCCUCUAGUGUAUGGGUUGUCUGGCAAGGCAUUGCCCAGCAGCCACGCGCUAUACGGAUAACGGCUGAAAGCAUCUAAGCCGGAAACCGCCCUCAAGACGAGGCAUCUUACGGCCGCGGUAGUCGACCGCGUUGAUAGAGCGGGGGUGUACGCAGGAAGUUCGCAAGAGCGACCUGUUCAGCCCGCCGCCACUAACCGCCGUAGCCACACUA